CCUACGGGAGGCAGCAGUGAGGAAUAUUGGUCAAUGGACGAGAGUCUGAACCAGCCAAGUAGCGUGAAGGAUGACUGCCCUAUGGGUUGUAAACUUCUUUUAUAUGGGAAUAAAAUGUUCCACGUGUGGGAUUUUGUAUGUACCAUAUGAAUAAGGAUCGGCUAACUCCGUGCCAGCAGCCGCGGUAAUACGGAGGAUCCGAGCGUUAUCCGGAUUUAUUGGGUUUAAAGGGAGCGUAGGUGGAUUGUUAAGUCAGUUGUGAAAGUUUGCGGCUCAACCGUAAAAUUGCAGUUGAAACUGGCAGUCUUGAGUACAGUAGAGGUGGGCGGAAUUCGUGGUGUAGCGGUGAAAUGCUUAGAUAUCACGAAGAACUCCGAUUGCGAAGGCAGUUCACUGGACUGCAACUGACACUGAGGCUCGAAAGUGUGGGUAUCAAACAGGAUUAGAUACCCGAGUUC
This 458-nucleotide ribosomal RNA is filed under the name uncultured bacterium. Its description in RNAcentral is "partial 16S ribosomal RNA". It matches the Rfam family "Bacterial small subunit ribosomal RNA", at positions 338 to 796 of the family's 1533-position model. The record is from RNAcentral.